GUCCACGCCCUAAACGAUGUCUACUAGUUGUUGGGGGAGUUAAAUCCCUUGGUAACGCAGCUAACGCGUGAAGUAGACCGCCUGGGGAGUACGGUCGCAAGAUUAAAACUCAAAGGAAUUGACGGGGGCCCGCACAAGCGGUGGAUGAUGUGGUUUAAUUCGAUGCAACGCGAAAAACCUUACCUACCCUUGACAUGCCAGGAAGCCUGCAGAAAUGCAGGGGUGCCCGAAAGGGAACCUGGACACAGGUGCUGCAUGGCUGUCGU
RNAcentral lists this ribosomal RNA (266 nucleotides) under uncultured bacterium. RNAcentral describes it as "partial 16S ribosomal RNA". It matches the Rfam family "Bacterial small subunit ribosomal RNA", at positions 793 to 1055 of the family's 1533-position model. The record is from RNAcentral.